This 387-nucleotide RNase P RNA is filed under the name Bacteroidota bacterium. RNAcentral describes it as "RNase P RNA component class A". It matches the Rfam family "Bacterial RNase P class A". Rfam says of the family: Ribonuclease P (RNase P) is a ubiquitous endoribonuclease, found in archaea, bacteria and eukarya as well as chloroplasts and mitochondria. Its best characterised activity is the generation of mature 5'-ends of tRNAs by cleaving the 5'-leader elements of precursor-tRNAs. RNAcentral also lists the same sequence under 3 other names. Lineage: Bacteria; Pseudomonadati; Bacteroidota. The record is from RNAcentral.
AUCGCCGGUGACCUUGUCGCUCCGUUCAGUCGGGGAGGAAAGUCCGGGCAAUAUCGGGCAGCCUGCUUCCUAACGGGAAGGGAUCCUGAAAGGGAUCAUAGAAAGUGCCACAGAAACUAAACCGCCAGGAGCGCAAGUUCCGGGUAAGGGUGAAAACGUGAGGUAAGAGCUCACGGCAGCUACCGGCGACGGUACUGCGGGUAAACCUCAGGCAUUGAAAGACCAAAUAAGCCGUGGAAGGAACUCGUUUCCGGGAGGGUGGCCCAUCCGAUGCUUUUGCGCCACGGCGGGUAGGUCGAUCGAGCGGGCAUGUGAAUGCACGCCCAGAUAAAUGACAAGGGUCCCGCUUGCGGGAAACAGAACCCGGCUUACGAUCCGGCGAUGACC